This is a long non-coding RNA of Quercus lobata, 5371 nucleotides long. RefSeq lists it as uncharacterized. NCBI's taxonomy places the organism in Eukaryota, Viridiplantae, Streptophyta, Magnoliopsida, Fagales, Fagaceae. The record is from RefSeq and is a predicted model, not a curated record. The transcript has 5 exons.
CUAUAUUUUUUAGUUCUUUAAAUUUGGGUUUAAAUAUGAUUAAGGUCUGGGUAUUUAGAUUGGAUUGUAUUGGAUUGCAUUCAGGUUUUGGCUUAGAUUCAGUUUUGAGUAAGGAAUUUGGGUUAGAAUGGCUUUUAAUAUGCUGUUUUUAAUUUUUUGUUGAAAUAUUUUCCCCUCUUUAUAUUUUUGUUUCCCAUGUUUCUUUUCUACCAUUGUUGUCAAGGUUCUUACAGUAUAUAUUUAAAGUUUUUCAUUUGCAAUUGCUCUGAUUUGAAAUAAUAAAACCCUAGAACACAGAGAAUAAGAAGGUGUUGAACAUUAAAAUGCCUUUCUUCCUCCACUGAUGCCAAUCUGCUUCAAGCAUUAUAUCUUUGUGUUUCGGAUCCAAAAUUAAAUCGUACCCACAAAAAUCCUUACACAAAUCUGCAUCUUCAACGUCCCAAAACACCAUCUCUUAUCCGUCUCCAAAACCAAAAAUAAAAGUCCACUUAAAAAUCUGCCACGCUUACAGAUUAAGAGAAAAGUCACAGUGUUUUGCUGAAACACUUUCUACCUUAAGCCGUUUAAAAAACCAUGAAUCGCCGCACUCUUAAUCAACUACACACACCGCAAUUCAAUCCAAAAAAAAAACUACACACACCACAAAGAAAAGAUAAAUUCCCUCCGUUUGGUAGAGGACAAAAUGGCAAAAUAAAACCUCUUCCUCCUUCCAAUUUUCAGUUUGACACCUUCUUUGUUCCACUUCUUUUCUGCAACGUCACACCCAAAGGAAAACGAUGUAUCUAUAUGGACCCAAAUGUAAUUAGUAAAACACGUUUAGAACAACUAUCAAAAGACGCCUAAGAUUUGUAAAAUGGUGAUGAAUCAUGAUAAAUAUAGAUAUAGCAAAUUCUUUUACAGAUAACAGCACAAAAAACGCACAAGAGAUUUCUUUGUAAUCUACAAUGACAAUGGUUAAAUCGAAUGUCAAAAGAAAAGACAUUAAAAUAACACUCAUUAGGAGUUCUUUUAUUAGUAACUAUGACAAGACUAUAAGUAAAAAUGACAAAAAGUAAACCUUCAGCAUAUAACGUCAGUUCUUAGAGAAGACAUUCUAUUGUCACAGCAGAUGUGGUCACCUAUUAUCAAAGUUUGGAGUCUUAUAUACAGGCAGCAAUGAUUUCUCUACUGACCACCACACUUCACAUUCUAAUGCAAUUGGCAUUAGCUUUUGAUGUUUUCCUUGAUACUAGCACACAGAAUCGAAAACUACAAUGGCACUAAAGAGAGUAUCCAACUCUUUCAACUACUCCCAUUUGGAAGUGGACUUCAAAUUUACCCAUUUAAGUAAAAAUCUGUCAACUUUUCAAACCUGCAUAAACAAACAUUCAACAUGAAUUCAGUCACAACAAGAAUAGAAUUACAUUUUCCAGUGGGUUAUAUGCGUCACAAGAAAAGACACUACAGUGACUGACAGUAGAGCUUAAAGCUGGAUAGUAUUGACUAGGCACAAAUUUUUUCAUCCUUGAUUAUCAAUUAGCUAAUAUCCCUGAUUCUUUUCUGGGUAGACUGCAAAAUUAAUUUAUGUAAGCAUUUUAGAUUUAACAUUCAUAGCUGUAUGGUCUAACUUUUUCCCUAAUUUUGUGAUGCCUCCCUCAAUUUUUUCAAAUCAGUUUGUAAAUUCUCACAAAAUAAUCAUUAUCCUAUGGCAAGAAAACUAUGUAUCUUAUUUCAACUUAUCAUUGACAAUGAGGCUAAGUGUAGGAAAUACAAUUCAAAUUGGAUAAAAGAACAACUACAAUAUAUUAGUUUUUUAGUCAUAGACAAUUUCAUUGAUAGAAGUUUUCAGUCAUAUUUCUGAGUAAUACACAUAUUGUAUUCAUUGAAUAAUUACACACAAAAUUCAACUUACAGAGACUUAUGUCCAUUGCCUUAUCUGCAAUCUAUAGGCUAUUUCCCUCCAUACGGUGGUAUGAAGUGGAGCACCCAAACAGGUUGGUGUAUUAGUUAAGACAACAAGGCUGACUAUAAGAGAAAUCAUCAGAACAUUUCUCCCUGCAUUCUCUCAAUUUGGUUCAUUUCACUUCAAUUCUUGAUUUGUUUUGGGUGACAGAGUUGCAACAUUGAGUGUGUGUUGGGUUAAUAUCUGUGUUUGUGUAUGUUUUUCAACCAUGGCAUCUCUGCUAGAUGAAGUUAAAUGAGAAUUCCAGAAAUUCCAAUAUAGUUGCUUUGUAGAUAAAAUAGAAAAAUUUAUUAUUGAAAUCCAUGACAGUUUGGUUGUGUAAUCCAUAGAAAGUUUGGUGAUAAAUCCUUAUUUCUAUCUCCUCAUAAUCAUUUUUUCUGUUCUUGGAAGAAUAUGAAACUUAAUCUUAAAAUGAACUUUUAGACUCUAAUUAUUAUAGGGCUCCCGAGUUGGAACCCUUCUAUAUUUUUCUUUAUAAAAUUGAAUUACAAUGCCCUUUAAGAUUAUGUAUUUGAAAGUUAGGGGAAUCUAAUAAGUAGGUUUGGUUUGUUUAUGAUUUAUUACUCGGUGGCUUUGUGCAUUGAGACUAGGGUUUGGAUUUUCUCUACAAAUUUUUUAAUUUGUCAUUGAGAAUGAAUUGUUAGUUCAAUGAUUUUGGGUUUGAUUUAGAGGUGGCUCGGUGUUUUUGAAAGUAUAUUCGUAAAAAAAUUGUGGGUCUGUGAAUGUGAUCUUACUUUGGAGAUUUUUACUGAUUUAGUGAUGGCAGUGGUAUUGAACUUGGACUUGGUUUUUGCAUACAGGUUUGCAUAAGUGAAUUAAACUUAUCUUCUAAUAAGAUUAGAUUUUAUACUCCAAUAUUUGUUUCUAUGAUUGAUUACAGACCACAAUUUGAUAUUUUGGUUUUCUCAUCCUCCUUUUCUCAUCAACACAUAUUCUUUUAUCUUACUCUCAUCUCUCUUACAAAUUUCACUAUAUAUAAAAAAUAAGUACCCAAAAUGGACAGAAUAUAUUCCUUCUUUCAUUUAUUUAUGUGCCAUAUAUAGGGGCUGUCUUAUUGUUUGAUUUAUUUUUUCACUUGAUAUAUCAAAAUUUUGAAGAUGCAACAACCAUUUUUUUGGUUACUAAUAUUACAAUUUGACUAGAUUGUAAUAGAGCUUUGGCAUUUUUUUUAAAGCAUGUUGAGUAUGUCACUUUUGAGAAAACUGGUAGUAAUAAUGCAUUUAUUUGUUUAAUGACAGACAUAUAUUAAUUUUGAAUAUCAAAGGGUGAGGUUGAACGGAGCAGAGAGCUUGAUGAGAGACUUAUAGACAUAUUAAAGCAUUUGAAGUAUAUAAAUGUUGGGGUUGAAUGGAAUCUACAAGGGUCUGUAUUUAUUCCUCACAAAAAGGACAUGAUAGGUAGAAAAUAAGAACGGAAAACAAUAUUUGGCCGAUUGGAAAAGAGCAAGAACAAAAAGAACAAUUGAGAUAUGAAAUGAGCAUUGAGCACAUAACCACACAAAAAGCAAUGAAAAGGCACAUUAGAAUUCAAAAGAAAAAAAAGUUAGCUAAUGCUGAAUUAGCAUCUUCAAAUGCACUUGGUUGGAUUGUUUUAGAUUUAGAUAUUUGAGUUAGAUUUGGUUUUAAUUAUGGUAUUGGGUUUAAAAUAAAUUUUGUUUUAAGUAUUUUGUAUUAGAUUUGGGUUAAAUUAGUUUUUGGUAUCUACCUAUGAUGUUUGUAAUUAGAUUUGUAAAUGGAGAUAUGUAUUGGGUGUUUAGUACGUGGUAAAAGUGUAUUUAAAUAUAUUAUUAAAAAAAUUCUUUCUAAUAAAUAUAAAUAAAAAGCUUCCCGCACAUAAUGCAGGUUAAAAAGCCAACUAUAUAUAAAAGCAAAAACCUUUAAAAAGGUGCUGUCACAUUAAAAAAAAAAUUACCACUUAAAAUUCUGCCACGUAUAUAAAUUAAAAAGCGAUAAAUUAUGUUGUCUGGCAAUACCGCAACAACAUUUAAAAACCUCUCCUUAUAAUUAACAAAAAAUAACUGGUUAAAAUGAAAGACUAUGCAUAGAUAGAAAUAGAGAGAGGCGAGAGGCCUGGGACGCAGAGAAAGAAACAGAGAAACAGGCUAGGACAUGGAGAAAGAAACAGAGAGAGGCAGAACGGUAAAGACUACAUCGAUUGGGCAAAAGAAAUCAAAAAAAUCUCAAAACACGAUUUUGCAGACGACGGAGAAAGAAACAGAGAAAGAGGCAGAGUUCCUAAGGCUGUCCAUUGUGCGUUACAAUCAAAAGGGAAAGAGAGCAGAGUUCGUCUGAGCCAUACACCAUCCAUAUCCUUGCCAGAUUUAGACCACCAGAUCGACGGAACUGACAUCGACAAUGAAUGAUUGAGUCCUGCACCAUCAGGAGCCUCGCCAUAGAAGAAAAAUCUAUGGACCAUCAACACCGUAAGACCAUAUAGCGAUAGAGUGAGAACUACCACUGCCCCUUACUUUAAAAUAAACUCAGCCCGAGUCCCCAAAAAACUCAGCCAGACGCUCUUCCCCUCUCUCCCUCUUUUAGACGCAUGCUCUGCCCUUAUUCCUCUCACUCAUCUGUUUCAGCCUCCGCUCCUCCAACCUUGGUGCCAAGAGGGAAAGUUGUGAAACCAAGAGAUAGUUAUGUUGAAGACAAUGGAAGAACAAGUGUAUUUCCAUAGUUUCAGAAUGAAUAGGAGGCAGAUGUGAAAAACACACCAGCAGUUUCGCUGCCUAAGAAGAAUCAAGAUUCAGUCAUGAGCCGCAUUGAUAUGGAGUUCUUUGCACCACGACUUCCUCCAUUUUAUCCUUUCGAGAAGGUCUCUAUGGAAUUGAUGGUACCUUUUAAAGUAACUACAAGUAUACAUCCUUCAAAGAAUCCGAAUGCAAGUUCUGCAAAAGUUCACUAUUAUGUUGCUUCAGCAAUAUACAAUUAGCUUUUCUCAUGAAAAUUUUAUUGGUGAAGGUAUGCUUGGUAGUGUUUAUAGGGGUAAGCUGCCCGAUUGAAAAGUAAGAUUCUUUUAACUAAAUAAGAACUAAUUUGCCAAGAUGAUGGUGUGGCUGUUUGAUUGUGGCUUUUACUUCAGAAUGCCUCAUGUACGUUUGUAUUUGUUGUCUUUUUUCCCCCUUCAUCUUCUUUAUCCUCAUUAGGAGUAGGAGAGUAGUCGAGAAAGAGCCAUAGACAAAUAAGAAAAUGCAUUAGUGAAGUUUAGAAGAAUGCAAAAAUUGUCAAUAUCCUUAUGCUUCAAGAAAUUUAUGUUAAAGGAUUGUGCUAAAAAGCACCAACCAAAUGUACAUGGCUUAGGAAAAGAAUAGGUAGUUGUAGAUUUCUCUGUGAGAUUACACAAAUGUAACUUUGAUUUAGUGCCACCAUCUUUUAGUUUUUUAUGGGGUAGUACAGUGAUUGGUAUUCAUAAAACUCUACAAUUUAACUUUUU